UCAAGACUGAGCCUACUUAAAUGGUUUGGGUGUGGGUUUUGUCAUGCAAAGACAUGGCCCAAUAUGGUUUUUAGCCUACAACUUUUAAUAUUUUAUGCAAUGGGCUUGCAAAAUGAUGGGCCAAUAUGGACUGUUCGGUUCGUUUAGAACCGUCCGGUUUUACCGGUUCACCGGUUCGACCGCUGGUUCAGGCGGUUCGUAACCGGUCCAAUAGUUAAACGGUUUAAUAGAGUGGACCGGACCGGAAAUGUGACCGGUCG
RNAcentral lists this long non-coding RNA (260 nucleotides) under Vitis vinifera (wine grape). Its description in RNAcentral is "long non-coding RNA (VVIN_LNC005609)". The record is from RNAcentral. Lineage: Eukaryota; Viridiplantae; Streptophyta; Magnoliopsida; Vitales; Vitaceae.